This 449-nucleotide ribosomal RNA is filed under the name uncultured bacterium. Its description in RNAcentral is "partial 16S ribosomal RNA". It matches the Rfam family "Bacterial small subunit ribosomal RNA", at positions 29 to 523 of the family's 1533-position model. The record is from RNAcentral.
AAUGAACGCUGGCGGCAUGCCUAACACAUGCAAGUCGAACGAAGGCUUCGGCCUUAGUGGCGCACGGGUGCGUAACGCGUGGGAAUCUGCCCUCAGGUUCGGAAUAACAGCGAGAAAUUGCUGCUAAUACCGGAUGAUAUCGCGAGAUCAAAGAUUUAUCGCCUGAGGAUGAGCCCGCGUAGGAUUAGCUGGUUGGUGUGGUAAAGGCGCACCAAGGCGACGAUCCUUAGCUGGUCUGAGAGGAUGAUCAGCCACACUGGGACUGAGAAACGGCCCAGACUCCUACGGGAGGCAGCAGUGGGGAAUAUUGGACAAUGGGCGAAAGCCUGAUCCAGCAAUGCCGCGUGAGUGAUGAAGGCCUUAGGGUUGUAAAGCUCUUUUACCCGGGAUGAUAAUGACAGUACCGGGAGAAUAAGCUCCGGCUAACUCCGUGCCAGCCGCCGCGGUAA